GAUGAACGCUGGCGGCGUGCCUAAUACAUGCAAGUCGAGCGAACAGAUAAGGAGCUUGCUCCUUUAACGUUAGCGGCGGACGGGUGAGUAACACGUGGGUAACCUACCUAUAAGACUGGAAUAACUCCGGGAAACCGGGGCUAAUGCCGGAUAACAUUUAGAACCGCAUGGUUCUAAAGUGAAAGAUGGUUUUGCUAUCACUUAUAGAUGGACCCGCGCCGUAUUAGCUAGUUGGUAAGGUAACGGCUUACCAAGGCAACGAUACGUAGCCGACCUGAGAGGGUGAUCGGUCACACUGGAACUGAGACACGGUCCAGACUCCUACGGGAGGCAGCAGUAGGGAAUCUUCCGCAAUGGGCGAAAGCCUGACGGAGCAACGCCGCGUGAGUGAUGAAGGUCUUCGGAUCGUAAAACUCUGUUAUUAGGGAAGAACAAAUGUGUAAGUAACUGUGCACGUCUUGACGGUACCUAAUCAGAAAGCCACGGCUAACUACGUG
This 497-nucleotide ribosomal RNA is filed under the name uncultured bacterium. RNAcentral describes it as "partial 16S ribosomal RNA". It matches the Rfam family "Bacterial small subunit ribosomal RNA", at positions 28 to 507 of the family's 1533-position model. The record is from RNAcentral.